Molecule: ribosomal RNA, 536 nt
Filed under: Curvularia kusanoi
Lineage: Eukaryota; Fungi; Ascomycota; Dothideomycetes; Pleosporales; Pleosporaceae
Description: eukaryotic LSU rRNA
Rfam family: 5.8S ribosomal RNA (bases 171-324)
Source: RNAcentral
CUGUUAAAGGGUGACUGCGGAGGUCAUUACCUAGAGUUGUAGGCUUUGCCUGCUAUCUCUUACCCAUGUCUUUUGAGUACCUUACGUUUCCUCGGUGGAUUCGCCCACCGAUUGGACAAAUUUAAACCCUUUGCAGUUGAAAUCAGCGUCUGAAAAAACUUAAUAGUUACAACUUUCAACAACGGAUCUCUUGGUUCUGGCAUCGAUGAAGAACGCAGCGAAAUGCGAUAAGUAGUGUGAAUUGCAGAAUUCAGUGAAUCAUCGAAUCUUUGAACGCACAUUGCGCCCCUUGGUAUUCCAUGGGGCAUGCCUGUUCGAGCGUCAUUUGUACCUUCAAGCUCUGCUUGGUGUUGGGUGUUUGUCUCCUGUAGACUCGCCUUAAAACAAUUGGCAGCCGGCGUAUUGAUUUCGGAGCGCAGUACAUCUCGCGCUUUGCACUCAUAACGACGACAUCCAAAAGUACAUUUUUACACUCUUGACCUCGGAUCAGGUAGGGAUACCCGCUGAACUUAAGCAUAUCAAAAGCGGGGAAGGAA